GACGAGCGCUGGCGGCGUGCCUAACACAUGCAAGUCGAGCGAAUGAAGUUCCUUCGGGAAUGGAUUUAGCGGCGGACGGGUGAGUAACACGUGGGCAACCUGCCUCAUAGAGGGGAAUAGCCUUCCGAAAGGGAGAUUAAUACCGCAUAAGAUUGUAGUAUCGCAUGAUACAGCAAUUAAAGGAGCAAUCCGCUAUGAGAUGGGCCCGCGGCGCAUUAGCUAGUUGGUGAGGUAACGGCUCACCAAGGCGACGAUGCGUAGCCGACCUGAGAGGGUGAUCGGCCACAUUGGGACUGAGACACGGCCCAGACUCCUACGGGAGGCAGCAGUGGGGAAUAUUGCACAAUGGGGGAAACCCUGAUGCAGCAACGCCGCGUGAGUGAUGACGGCCUUCGGGUUGUAAAGCUCUGUCUUCAGGGACGAUAAUGACGGUACCUGAGGAGGAAGCCACGGCUAACUACGUG
This 464-nucleotide ribosomal RNA is filed under the name uncultured bacterium. RNAcentral's name for it is "partial 16S ribosomal RNA". It matches the Rfam family "Bacterial small subunit ribosomal RNA", at positions 28 to 507 of the family's 1533-position model. The record is from RNAcentral.